AGAGUUUGAUCCUGGCUCAGGACGAGCGCUGGCGGCGCGCCUAACACAUGCAAGUCGAACGAGCGAGAGAGAGCUUGCUUUCUCGAGCGACUGGCGAACGGGUGAGUAACGCGUGAGGAACCUGCCUCAAAGAGGGGGACAACAGUUGGAAGCGACUGCUAAUACCGCAUAAGCCCACGGCUCGGCAUCGAGCAGAGGGAAAAGGAGCAAUUCGCUUUGAGAUGGCCUCGCGUCCGAUUAGCUAGUUGGUGAGGUAACGGCCCACCAAGGCGACGAUCGGUAGCCGGACUGAGAGGUUGAACGGCCACAUUGGGACUGAGACACGGCCCAGACUCCUACGGGAGGCAGCAGUGGGGAAUAUUGCACAAUGGGGGAAACCCUGAUGCAGCGACGCCGCGUGGAGGAAGAAGGUCUUCGGAUUGUAAACUCCUGUUGUUGAGGAAGAUAAUGACGGUACUCAACAAGGAAGUGACGGCUAACUACGUGCCAGCAGCCGCGGUAAAACGUAGGUCACAAGCGUUGUCCGGAAUUACUGGGUGUAAAGGGAGCGCAGGCGGGAAGACAAGUUGGAAGUGAAAUCCAUGGGCUCAACCCAUGAACUGCUUUCAAAACUGUUUUUCUUGAGUAGUGCAGAGGUAGGCGGAAUUCCCGGUGUAGCGGUGGAAUGCGUAGAUAUCGGGAGGAACACCAGUGGCGAAGGCGGCCUACUGGGCACCAACUGACGCUGAGGCUCGAAAGUGUGGGCAGCAAACAGGAUUAGAUACCCUGGUAGUCCACACCGUAAACGAUGAUUACUAGGUGUUGGAGGAUUGACCCCUUCAGUGCCGCAGUUAACACAAUAAGUAAUCCACCUGGGGAGUACGACCGCAAGGUUGAAACUCAAAGGAAUUGACGGGGGCCCGCACAAGCAGUGGAGUAUGUGGUUUAAUUCGACGCAACGCGAAGAACCUUACCAAGUCUUGACAUCCUGCGACGCACAUAGAAAUAUGUGUUUCCUUCGGGACGCAGAGACAGGUGGUGCAUGGUUGUCGUCAGCUCGUGUCGUGAGAUGUUGGGUUAAGUCCCGCAACGAGCGCAACCCUUAUGGUCAGUUACUACGCAAGAGGACUCUGGCCAGACUGCCGUUGACAAAACGGAGGAAGGUGGGGAUGACGUCAAGUCAUCAUGCCCUUUAUGACUUGGGCUACACACGUACUACAAUGGCGUUAAACAAAGAGAAGCAAGACCGCGAGGUGGAGCAAAACUCAGAAACAACGUCCCAGUUCGGACUGCAGGCUGCAACUCGCCUGCACGAAGUCGGAAUUGCUAGUAAUCGCAGAUCAGCAUGCUGCGGUGAAUAC
Molecule: ribosomal RNA, 1340 nt
Filed under: metagenome
Description: bacterial SSU rRNA
Rfam family: Bacterial small subunit ribosomal RNA
Source: RNAcentral